Molecule: transfer RNA, 71 nt
Filed under: Tropidophorus hainanus
Lineage: Eukaryota; Metazoa; Chordata; Lepidosauria; Squamata; Scincidae
Description: tRNA-Ser
Rfam family: tRNA
About the family: Transfer RNA (tRNA) molecules are approximately 80 nucleotides in length. Their secondary structure includes four short double-helical elements and three loops (D, anti-codon, and T loops).
Source: RNAcentral
GAGAAAGAAGCAUGGUGGUUAUGCGGCUAGUUUGAAACUAGUAGAAGGUGGUUCGACUCCCCCGUUUCUUG